AGGUGGUCUGAUGGUAGUGGGUUACCAGAACUUAUCAACAUCAGUGCCACUAACGUUGGUAUUCAACCCCCACUGCUAAAUUUGACUGGGUUUUU
RNAcentral lists this Y RNA (95 nucleotides) under Microcebus murinus (gray mouse lemur). RNAcentral's name for it is "Y RNA (ENSMICG00000047982.1)". It matches the Rfam family "Y RNA". Rfam says of the family: Y RNAs are components of the Ro ribonucleoprotein particle (Ro RNP), in association with Ro60 and La proteins. The Y RNAs and Ro60 and La proteins are well conserved, but the function of the Ro RNP is not known. Lineage: Eukaryota; Metazoa; Chordata; Mammalia; Primates; Cheirogaleidae. The record is from Rfam by way of RNAcentral.